Molecule: transfer RNA, 35 nt
Filed under: Ficus glaberrima
Lineage: Eukaryota; Viridiplantae; Streptophyta; Magnoliopsida; Rosales; Moraceae
Also listed under: 1 other name
Description: partial tRNA-Phe
Source: RNAcentral
GUCGGGAUAGCUCAGCUGGUAGAGCAGAGACUGAA